GAGCUCUAUUCUCUACAAGGCUAUAAACCGUUUCUUUCCUCUUCCCUCCCCUUUUCCUUUGUUUUAUUUUCGUCUUUGUUUCUCUUUAUUGUUUUUUACUUUUUUUUUCGUUCACUCCUGUCGCUUUUAUUUCGUGUGUGCGUGUGUGAGUGUGUGUGCUGCUUAGCCGUCCUCUCUCUCCCCACCGUCACCCCCACCCUCUCGCUUUUCUAUCACGCUUUCGUCAACAAAAGCAUCGUCUCUCAUCUUUUUGUCCCCCCCCCUCCCACCCCGCGCACCGCUUUUGUGCUUUUUUUGUUUAUUUCGUCUUCUCUGUUCUCUGCACGACUGCGUAGGGGCUUCGUAUGUAAACGUGCACAUGAUUUGGUCCUCCCUCGCUCUCGCAUUUUUCUCUAUUGAUUAUUGCUUCCGUUACUCUGUGUUUGUGUGGUCUUGGUUGUUUGGUUCCUCUUCGUUUUCUUUCGUGCUGUGCUGUGCGCUCUGCGCGUAAGAUUGCUCCCCGAACGUUUGCGUGUCUGUGUAUCUGAAGCUCACCUGUGUUGUUGAUUUUUUUCAUUCCCUUUUUUCCUCCCUCCUCCCUCCCCAGCCUCCUUUUAUUGCUUGUAGUAAUUUCUUUAGUGUUGGGGCUGCUGUCUUGUGCCUUGAUUUGUCUUCCGGUCGUGCUUUUCUUUUAUUUCUUCACCUCUCUCUCUGUCGACAAUUCGUCGUGCUGUAACCCUCCCCCCUCCCAAAAAAAAAAAAUAAAACUUUUCCGCAAAAAAAAAGAGUAACCUCUCCUCUUCCUCCUUUUCAAACUGUACUUUCCUCCUGUCUGUUUGCUCGUGUUUUGUAGCGGCCGCCACGUUGGUGUGGGGGUCGCACAUUAUCGGUACCUCCUAUCUUUUUUUUCUUUUCACUCCUUGUCGCUGAGCCCCUCCUCGUAGUGCUCUCUCAAGUUGGCGUCUCAUUACUUCUCUCGUUUUAUAGCUUGGCACCCCCUCUCUACUUCCACUCUCGCUCUCCUGCCUGUUCUGGGUUGUAGCUGCACUCGUUUCGUGGUAUAUUGAGUACAUAGGUGGUAUCGUUUCUCUCUGCCAUUGUUAUUCGGAGUUACAACCUCCAAGCAGCUUUCCCCUCUUCAUUAUCCGCCAUCCUCCCUCCCUCCUUCACACACACACACACAAACUCUUGUUUGCUUUUUAUUUUUCCGCCUUGUUUACAUCCACUCAGGACUUCAUUGCCUUCACCUGGCCCUCCGUCCCUUUUUUCCCGUUACUGGUACGCUUACCUGCCCUCUGCCUCUCCCUUCUCCUUCGUGCCAUUUCCGCUUUCAAUCAUUCAUAAUCGAAGGACGGAAGUGUAGGGGCAUGUCAUUUUGUGUGGGCUCAUAGUUUCUGAAGUUGCUCUUGCUAUCCAGACCUCCCUCGUGUGUGUGUGUGUGUUCUUCUUUUGCUUUCUUUUCUAUUCAGCCUGGCCGUCCUCCUCUCUCUCAUUCCAACCUCUCUUUCUCCGCAACCCCUUUUCCAUUACGUGUUACACGAGCGCCGAAAAGAAAGAGGCAGCUCAGCAGCGUGCACUUUCCCCUUAACUCGACAUUUCGGGCUGGCAGCGGUGUGCUGUGAAGGAAAAAAAAAGAACCCGACCAACAAGCUAUCAUCAUCCGCUUCCCUCCCUCCUCCAUCUUCGGGUCUUUCUUCUUUGCUCUUGCUGGUGUUGUUACGGCAUCGACGUGCUUCACCGGUUCAAACUGCUUUCCCUUUUUUGCCUCUCUCUUUUGUUCUUCCGACGCCCAGUGAUAGAGUUAGUCCAGUGCCGCGCACCGCCUCCUCGUCUCUCUCUGAUUGGGCACGCCGCGCAGACAUCUCUCCCUGUUCGCUGUGUCGUCGGAUUGUUUUCUUUUUCCUUUCGAGUGCCUGAAACGCAUCCCCUCCCCCAUCCCCUUCUUUCUCGCCUUCUCUGUUUCUCCCGCGCUCCUCUCUCCAGUGAUCAACUUCACUCCAUAUCCGUUUUUUUUGUGUGUCCUCCGCUGGCUUCCUUAGCAGCCCUUCGCCCUUAUCCGCCCUCUCCAGCGUGUGUGUGUGUGUGUCUGUGUGUGUCUGUGUUAAUACCUCCACGUCCGUUUCUCCCUACACCUCGAUUUGCACUCCUGCAGUACCCAUAUGUGCGCCGCAAUGUCGCUUGCUGAAGCCAGCACACCGCUGGUGAACGUCUACGCAAAACCGCAGGAGGUCGAGACGCGCAUCACUCCCAGCCGCUUCACCGUAUCGUACACCAGCCGCGCUCCCUCUUCUUGCUCGCCAAUGCCGGUAGUGCCGUCGUGCGCGCGGGAUGACAUGGCGCUCCAGAAGGAGAUGGUCGAGGCGCACAAGCAAGCGGAGCUGGCGGCCUUUAUUGCUAAGCACGAGAAGACAUGCGCCAUCUCCGAGGCGGACCGCCGCCGGAGCAUCAUCAUGCUCUUGAACACCGCCGCGCAGCGCGACAUUGACGAGGGCAGUCAUGCAGGCUACCCGCAGCAGGUGGUGGACUUCAUGCGUCAGACUUGGGCCGCUUUCAUUCAGCAGGCGAAAAACUUCUACCAAGAAGACGCAGACGAGCCAUUCAAGAUGGAGCUGAGCCGCAACGCCUUGGAGAACACCUCGUCUAUCGGCGUUUGGUUCACUGGUCCGCAGAUAUCGCUUCCGCUCCGCCGCUACACGGUUCAGGUGGUCGGCGCCGAUGGCGCGCCGCAGAACAUCACCGCUGUGGGUUUGCUGAGCUUCACAUACUCGACUUAUGUGAUGCACCUCCGCUCAAUGUCGCAGCAGAGCGCUCUGGAUGGGCUUGCCCGCAUGCAGGAGCAGCUCGGCACGGACUCACUCUUUCUCCCGCAAAUUCUCGUGGCCCCCUCGUAAACCCAAAGAGCAGCGAAACCCGCCGUCUACUCCUGCCUCUCUGAUUAGAACCACGGAAGAAGUCCGCGCAGACAAAACAAGACACCAGGUGCGAGUCGAGAUCCGUCCCUCUCUCUUUCCCCUCUGCAUGACGCUAUGGCUGGCAUCAGCUCCCUUCACUGGCGCCCGUGAGAACCGCACCAAAACGGUGGAGAGACGGUUGCCUAAAGGGCAGUGCACAUCGCCUAUGUGUGUGCGUGUGUCCGAGGAGGGAGGAGGGAUCUGUGUGUGAGCCUUCACUUCCAUGUGAAGGCGCAGCAUCCGCGAUCCCGCCCCACCACCUCACACCAGAUGAGCCCCUCUUCGAGACGAAAGAAAAAGAUCUCUGUGCAACUGGUUGUGCAUACGCAUGUGCCUAACUGUGAAGCCGACGUCGGCACCUCCACAACUCACUGCUUCUCUCGCCCAUUGAACUGGAUUGUGUGUGUGUGCGUGUUCAUCGCAAAAGACUUGUGCACACGCAAAUCCGGCGCAGGUUUUCUCUUUUCUUCCCCGCCUCGGUGCCCUCCUAACAUCUCCUGACUCUCGGGACACUUUUAUUUUCGGGUGCACUGCUGCUUCCUCUUACCUGACUUUCCCUCCUCGUCUUGGAGCAUAGGUGUGAGUUGUGCUCCGCCAUCCAUGCUCUGAGCCCUCUAUGUUUCCCCCUUCCCCUUGCCCCAGUGUUUGCCGGGACCGUCAAAAACAACAGACAUCUUUGCGUGAGUAUAGUUCUUUUCUGCCUGUGUGUGUGUGUGGCUCACGUUCUUCUUUCUAUUCUGGUCUGGGCACACGCCUAUGCACAGAAAGCCCAUCACCACCUUCUACAUAGGCACAGAGAGAGAGAGAGCAAAUGUUGUUUGCGUAUUUUUAUCAUCUGCUCUUCAGCUUUUCAGCCGGACUUGUCUUUUCAGCAUACGCACCAGUACGUUUAUGUGUGUGCCUGUUUUGCGUUUGCCUCCGUGCUUGUCUGCUUCAGCUCUCUCUCUCUUUUUCGUUUUGUACGGGCUAGUGCCUCUUUUGCGAGCUUGGCAUUCCGUGAGAGACAGGCAAGAUCACGCCGAAAGUCCUUUUUUUUCAGUUGUUUUGGUUGCCCCCUCUAUGCCUCCUUUCUCCUCCUCUCCGCCACCAUCGCCAUCACCUCAUCCUUCGAUACACACAAUGCUCUUACUCGUCACAUGUUUGUCUUGUCGAUCCUUUUCUCUUCAGCCAUGCGAGUGCGGAUGCGUAUAUGUUUCUCUAUGUGUGUGUGUGCUUGCGUGAUUUUUUUUCUGGGUUUGUUCUCACCCUCCCCCUUUUUGCUUUGUGCUGUUUUUUCCUGGAUGGCGUGGGUCGUUUUUUUCUCUCUCUACUGCCGUUUUGCUCGUUCGCUGGAUGCCUCUCCCUCUCGUUCGGUGUGUACUUCUCGUCGUCCCUCUUGGUCUAUCUUUUCGGAUGUCUUUGUGUGGUUCCCCUCCCUCCUGUCCUCUCUAUCCUGCCGCGUGUACGUUUCUCGACGGAAACAACAUGAGCACACGCAAGGGAGUGACGGAGGUGUGAGAGGGGCGGAAAAAAAAAACGAAGCGCGUUCUUUUUAUCAUCCCCCCUUCCUCCCCCUCUUCUCUCUCCUCUCUUUGCGUAGCGGAUCACCUUUUAUUCGUUUUCUUUUCCGUCGCUUCUCUCUUUGUGCUUGCUGAUUUUCGCUCUUCCAUGACCUCAGUGCCAGUGAUGCCCUACCAUGUGCACUGGCGUGAGGGAUUAUUUUGUUUGCUUUCUUUUCCUCGAACUCUUCUCACUGUAGAAGUGCCACAUGAAAAGACAAAAAAAAGAGAAAACAUGUAGACACGCCGGAAAACACGCACACGCAGAGCGGCAUGCCGAUUUCCUCGGCGCAUUUUCAUUUUCUUUCCAUGUGAAUCUGUACCAGUGCUCUUCAGCGUACCUGUGUGUGUGCGCGUAUCGAGUUUGUGCGUUUCCUCUCUUCUUUAUUUGCAUUUGUUGUUGUGUAUGUAUGUGUAUGUGUGUAUGUGUGCCGACGAAGAGAAAGCGAGUGUGAACGCACACGCACGCACGUAUAUGGGCAAGACACAGUGCGGACAUCAAUAAAAAGAAAAUACUGUGUCUUUUCAUGAAUUUUGUCUUCCCUCUCACGAGGCAGACAUCGCAGUCAAGCAAGGAAAGCGAAAAACAAGGCUGGGAGGACACUCAAAGACGCACACGUGUACACAGGGCUAACGAGCACUACCCUCAUUGCCAAGUUUAAGUCACACGUGGUUGCAUGGUACACGAAAACGAGCAGAACGAUCAAGGCGUACAGCGUUAUUGCUUGACAUGCGUAGUGUCCUCGAAACCUCAAGGAGGUUGGGUUGGGGGCGUCUCUUGCUUCGCUACUGCUGGUUUUCGAUUCUGUCUUCUGUGUUGGUGUUCUUAUCGGCAGCUCUGAAGUUUGCCAUAUGAUGAUUCUUUCUUUCUUUUUUGGCCUCGCGCGCUCUCUCCUUUCCUUUUUAUCACCAUCACUACUGCAACGAUCCCAUUGUCGGUUACGGGGGCCCCCAACUUUUCCCUCUCUUACCCGCGUUUUUAGUUGCUCCUCCUUUGGCAUUGGCCUUUGCAUGUUCCCUCCCACAACGCUUGUUUGUUUAUCAUUUCUUCAUUGUAAGCGUAUGCUUUUUUCACCCCUCCCCUUCCCGCCCUUCGAAAAUGUUUUCUUUCUGUCUUUGCUGCUUCUCCCCUCGAUACUCUCCAAUGCGCUAGCGAGCAUGUUCUUCUCUCCCCACCCACUCCCACAUACGCUCUCUGGCAUCCUUCUCUGCUCACGGGUGCGUGUUUUCUCUUCUUUGACUCACGCAUAUUUAUGUAUGUGUGUGUGUGUGUCUUGGACUCACGUUCGUACUGGUCUGUAUUUUUUUCUUCGUUUGGUUUCUAGAUCUCACGUUGCCAUCAAAAAUGGCUUGCUGUGUACCCCCCCCCUCCUCCUCCUUCGACGCCUCUCCUCUCUCUUACUUUCCUCAUUAUACUUUUUGUCUGUGCCCCCUCUCCCCGUCCCUUUUCAUUUAUGUGUGGUGUGUGCUUGUAUGAGGAAGGGGGUCUCUCUCUUUCUCCCCGUGUGGAAGUUGUAUGCGUGUGCAUGUAUUCAGUUUUCGAGGGGGUGCACGUGCGCUUAAUUGCUUGACCGUUUCAACAUUUAUGUGCUGUCUGUCUGUCUGGCACAACCUGCGUGGCUUUCCUUUUUGGUCUAUUUUUUUUUCUUGCCUUUACGUUCAGUGGGUUGACCUCAUCUCUGCUUGCUUUUAUGCUCAAUGCGCCUGCUCGCUCUUAGCAACAAUUUCAGAAUAUCUUUUCUACUCUCGCUUCUUUGUUUGGGAUGGCGUACACCGAGCCCUACCCCUGUCACCGUUACCCUAGCUCUUCCCUUUCGUUUUUUUUUUCGCCUCGCAUAUUAUCAUCAUCAUUUUUUCUCUGUGUUGUUCUUCUCUUCUGUGUGUGUGUAAGAGGGGGGAUGGCCGCGUAUGGGUUGCCUGCUGCUGCUGUCUUGGUUUCUUUUCCCUCUUCGUUUGCGAUAAGAAAAAGACUGGAAAGUACAGACAGAAAUCGAGAGGGCGAGGAAGAGAUACCCGGUACGGCGCAAGAAUAGCAAGAGAGCGCUUCACAAUGGAAGCAGACCUGCAUCGCCCCAUUCGAAUCACCACCACCAGCAGCAGCACUCUUCAUUGGGGACGGUAGAAACCACAUGGCACGUUGGCAUCAACAAUUCUCUUUUUCUUGUAGCAAUCACAAAGGAGUCGCCACACCAGCAGGGAUGGUGAGCACAUGCCCUCUACAGUGACCUUUCUCCCCUCUCUUUUCCCCCUCGCGCCUUUUACGUGCGCGCUUGUUUGUGUUUUCUGUUUACCAAUCCUCCCCUCCCCCCCCCGAACUCUCGUCAUCGAUUUCGGACGCAUGGCUUGCCUGUCGCGCGCACCUGCUAUUAUUCUCGAGGAGGCCGGCCCGCGCGCUCUUGUCCACCACGCCGUCACUCACUGCUCCCACGCACCAGUCGCUCUGUCCCUCUGUUCCCCUCUCUUUGCCCUCCCCUUAACUACUUCACUCUUUCCUCGUCGCGUCUUCUUUCUGUCGCCGUUGCUGUCUCGGUGGACGGCGCUCGAGCGGAGUUGUCCACGACGCCCGAAGCAUGAGCCCGCGGCAACGAGCACCACACGUAAGACGGGGGAAAGUCAAAGAUGACGGGGCGUUGCCCCCAGAGGACAACGUGAGUACGGCAAAGGAAAUCGGUGCGAGGUGGUAUGAGGAAGACGCGACCGCGCCCGCGCCGACGCGUGCGGGAGUUUUGAUUCCCGAUCGAUUGGUUCUCUGUGUCUCUCUGUCCAUCGGCCGCCUUCGGGGCAUCACUCGCCGCCUUCUUCUAUCCCCUUUUUUCACUGUUUCUUCAUGCUCUGCUUUUGUGCCUGGUUGUCGGCGCGUUUUCUUUUGGUCCAGCGGAUGUCUCUCAUACCAGCCUUCCCUCUACGUUUUUUCCUUCCCCAUCCUUCUCAUAUGCGUUCUAGACAGUCACCAAUGCCUGAUAUUAUGCAUAGAUACGCGCAUGUGAGUCGCGGAGCGGAUCGCGGCGCGUAUGCGUAAGGGUAUGUCCUUCGCGUGACGCAGCAGAGGCAGCCUCGCCACCUACAAGAAAGCAGUGGUAUUUUUUUUUUUCGCACCUUUUUUUGUUUUCUUUCUGUGCGUCUGUAAUCGGUCGGGUGCAGAUGGUGCGUGUGGGCCCGGGUGUUAGACGGUAGAGAGGGAGAGACAGAAAGAAGGCCCGUUCCUGUGUGUGUCUCGUGUGAAUGAGGGUGCACCCCCUUCGCAUUCCUUCUCUCUCUUCUCAUCCUGUUACUUCUCUCUACAAAAACACGCCUCGCAUCCCUCGGCAUAGCAGACUAGCCUUUUUUUUUUGUUUUUUUUUUUUGGGGGGAGGGGGGUUAUCGGCGCAGCAUUCUCAGCAGCUCUCAAGUUACUCGCCCCGCCCCCACCCACCCACACACACACACACACUUUGUGUGGGUUUUUGUCAACACAGCAGCAAGGCAACGCAAUCAUGGGCACACGUUGAAAAGGACGUCGUGCUUGCCUCGGCUGGUGCUGCCGACUUGAUUUCGUUUUCUCUUUUUCGUUUUCGACUUUGUGCGCGCCCUUGAUAAGCCGCUUCUUUGCCAGUAUCUUAGCUAAUAUCGAACUUCAAGAGUCAAUCUAUUUUCUCACUUCGCCUCUCCGCUCGUUCCACCGUUUUGAUUCUCGCCCCCAUCACACACACACACACACUUCUAACCCUCGCCUCCCUUUUUUUCCCGUUGUUACUGAGACGCUUCCCAUGCAUGCAGUGAAGUGGGUCUUCCACUCAUGUAAGAAGUGUCUCCUCCCAUCACUCCCUUCCUACCUCUCUCUCUUCCACGUUUCUGUGUCCCUUCGAUUUCUGCUCCGCAACUCUCCCUCUCCUUUUUCUUCUCAGCCACACAUUGUUCACACAACAAGCAGGAGAGAGUAAGUUCUUGAAGGGAAAAAGAGUAAAAGCGAGCGAGUCUCUCCAUCUUGGCGUUCCCGCCCACCCCACCCCUCUCUCUCCUUCUCUCGGACAUGCACACACUCUACAACAUGUGCAAUCUGAGAUAAGGCGCGCUGCGCUGCAUUCCUUCCCCGUCACCGCCUCUCUUUUUUCCCUUCUCUCUCACACAAGGGAGGGAGGAACUGGCAGGGAAAGGUGAAGUGGGGAAGUACCAGUGUGUGAAGGGGGCGCAGACGAAGAAUACAAUAUUCAGCUGAGGUCUAAGUAUGCCGGACACUUCCUGCUUUGAUGCGUACUUGUUCGUGAAAAUGUGUAUGGCGGGUUUCUUUGCAGGACCUAAAAUCUGCAACGAUAAGGCUGGCUGCGAUUCAUCGUUGGCUCUGCCCUCUCUGUAUACAUUACAGCACAGGUGUAUCUAAGAAAGGUGAGUGAUCACGAAUCUCACUUCUCUUUUCCUCCCUCAACUCCUCUCCCCGCCGCUGGUAAGUGAGAUCAGCUCCAUCCCCACUGAACAAAAGGAAAACGCUGGUCUUGGAGGGGUAGCGUCGAGAGAGAGUUGUUUUUUUUUUUCGUUUCUUCCGUUUUGGGGUCUCGCACACCGAAGUCACGAAGCUUUAGGAACUUACUUCUGUUUCCCUCUGUCGGCAACAGUAUCCUGCCCUCUGGCACGAGGGUCUCCGUUACUUCUUUGUGGGGAAAAGGAGGUCAACCUGUUCUACGACCUUGUCUGUGGGCUCAAAUCAGUCUCGCCCUGCGACCAGCAGCCCCCAUCAUGUAAGUCAACGCGUGAGACAUGAUGGAUAAGGAAGGGUGGGCCCUGUGUUUGCAUAGAAGUCAUCAAAAUGAUAAUUAGCAAUUCGGUAAGAGUGGCAUACACAAAUCCGUUUGGCCUACUGGGCGCUGUCCAACACGCUUGUGAUAUCGCCCACAUCGGGUUAGAACCAUGGGAUGGAGCCCUGCAGCUCCACAAGCCCCCCUCCCUCCCUCAUCUCUUCUCUCCACUCUCAUGCUCGUGAAGGCAGGGGAAUCUUUAUCUUUCCGUUUGCUUUUGCGUCUCUCUCUCACUGCGUGGUGGUCACACUUGUUUCGGCGUUGUCUUCUUUCCCCUCUCACCACCACACCCCACCCCUUUCGUGUUUCUUCUCAGAAAGUCCGUUUUUUUUUUGUAUGUGUAUGUGUUGUGCGCCGGGGGGUGCGUGCGUGUGUGCGUGCUUCUGACGGGGCGAAGGAACUGUGAGAGAGGGACUGAGCGAUGCGGAAAUGAAGCGGGGAGAAGCAGCACGUCGGACAUGUGGAAAAAAUAUAAGCUGGAGGACAUUGUAGUGCAGAGAGAAGGGUAUGUGUGUCGCUCUCUGUUUGUGUGUAGGCUUGCAUGUGUGUGAGCUUGUGUCCAUGCACGCGUCAACUUGUGUACAGCUACUCGAAAUCAGCAGCAAGUGGUCGUGCGCAGUACUCCUUCCCCGCUGCUUUCACUGAUGUAGGCUCGCCACUGUUCUUGUUUUUUUUUCUUCUCUUUGUGUGCUCUUUUCUUUGUUUUGACGUGUUAGCGCUCGCCUUCGUUUUUUUUUUCACGACGCUUGUCUUGAGCGUCGCUCUCCUCUCUUCCCUGCUUCGCUCUUCGUUCCCUCUCUUUUCGCUGGCCUACAACCAGCGGAGGGGCAGCAACUAAGCUGCAGUCUGCGCUACGCGCCCUGCUCCCCCGGCCUCACGCUUCCCUAAUCCGUGACGCCGACAUCUCAAUAAGGAAAUCGCACCAAGGAUGGCGACGAAACACAGCAGAGAACCGAAACGCGAUACGGCGGGCAUCUCUGUCGCGAGUCUCUCUUUACUUCUCGCUCAUGUUGUGAUGGCUAGUCGUCUUCGGGUUUCCCUCUGUCGUCUUCGCCUUUCAUGUGAUUCGUUUUGGGAAUUCCCCUUAUCCCCCAUGGAACCUCCGAGGGAGUACUGCGUCUUUGUCGGUGCCGUGUGACGCUUGUUGCUGAUCUUCCUCCACGCUCCUCUUCACUUCCGUGUGUGUGUGUGCGUGUGCGUCUCUCUCUUCCUCUCUCAUAGUCUCUCCACUUUCCGAAGAUUUGGAGCUGUGCGCACGCCAUUCAUAUGUCGUUCUGUGUGUUUGUGUGUGUGUGUGUCUUUCUUAGAGUGUUUCCAUCUGCCUCUAUCACUGCUGCUCUUGUCUACUCCCUGCGCCCUUGCACUCGUCCCCGUAUCUCUCCCAGCAGCCCUUCCUUGAAAUUAGCCACAUGUUCGGCAAUGGAAAGACACUAGUUGAUGCCCCCUCCCCUCUCUCCCUCUUUUUUCUGCUUGCUCGCCUCAUUGUCGCUUGUCCAUUUUUUUCACUCGCUCGAUGUGUUGCCCCGCACGCACGCACGCACAUCAGCGUGUGGCUCCUCUCUUUCGUUUUCUCUUUACGGCCAGUGCUUGUGAGAUUGCUCUUGCGCGCUCUCUCUCUCUGCCUUUUAUGCUUCCCAUCUUCUCUUCCCCGUUCCAGAUUUUUUUUUCGCUGCUCUUCGUGUUGGUUUCUUCCCGCGCGGACGGAAGCGAGUCUCAUAAUGAAGGUGAUGAUGAUUGCGUUCGCCUCUUCCGCACCCUCCUCGACCUUUUCCCUCCCCCCUCCCUUUCUCCGUCUCUCUUCCUACGAUUUGUCAGUGUUCGUGCUAACCUUUUUUUCUACGUAUUUGUGUGCUUGCCUUUGUACUACGUAAGCGUAAUUGUGUGUGCGUCUCUUUUUUCUUGCGCUCAUUUUCUCCUUCCGCGCUCGUUGCCAUUCUCCCCCUCUCCCUCUCCCGCCCAUCGAGGAAGGGUGACAACUGGCCUUCGUACACACACACACACACACAUCUAGCCACCUAAUGUGCUUUUCGUCUCUCAAUUAUUCUGUCUUUCUUCUCUUCUUCCUGCCACCCCCCCCACCCUCUCUCUACUCCAAG
Molecule: unclassified non-coding RNA, 11333 nt
Filed under: Leishmania donovani
Lineage: Eukaryota; Euglenozoa; Kinetoplastea; Trypanosomatida; Trypanosomatidae
Description: gene:LdHU3.22.0160(CDS-product:hypothetical_prote in_conserved)
Source: RNAcentral